CCGCCGCGGUAAAACCAGCUCUUCGAGUGGUCGGGAUAAUUAUUGGGCUUAAAGUGUCCGUAGCCGGUUUAGUAAGUUCCUGGUAAAACCGGGCAGCUUAACUGUCCGUAUGCUAGGAAUACUGCUAUGCUAGAGGGCGGGAGAGGUCUGAGGUACUACAGGGGUAGGGGUGAAAUCUUAUAAUCCUUGUAGGACCACCAGUGGCGAAAGCGUCAGACUGGAACGCGCCUGACGGUGAGGGACGAAAGCCAGGGGAGCGAACCGGAUUAGAUACCCGGGUAGUCCUGGCCGUAAACGAUGCAUACUAGGCAAUGGUGCGGCCAUGAGCCGCAUCAGUACCGUAGGGAAACCGUUAAGUGUGCCGCCUGGGAAGUACGGUCGCAAGGCUAAAACUUAAAGGAAUUGGCGGGGGAGCACCACAAGGGGUGAAGCCUGCGGUUCAAUUGGACUCAACGCCGGGAAACUUACCAGGGGAGACAGCAGAAUGACAGUCAGGUUGACGACCUUACUCGACGAGCUGAGAGGAGGUGCAUGGCCGUCGCCAGUUCGUGCUGUGAGGUAUCCUGUUAAGUCAGGCAACGAACGAGAUCCGCGCCUUUAUUUGCCAUCAAGAAGUCACGACUUCGUUGGGAACACUAAAGGGACCGCCGUCGAUAAGACGGAGGAAGGAGCGGGCAAAGGCAGGUCAGUAUGCCCCGAAACCCCUGGGCUACACGCGGGCUGCAAUGGUGCGAACAAUGGGCUGUAACUCCGAAAGGAGAAACCAAUCCCGAAAUCGCAUCUCAGUGGGGAUUGUCGACUGUAACUCGUUGACAUGAACGUGGAAUCCCUAGUAAUCGCGUGUCACCAUCGCGCGGUGAAUAC
Molecule: ribosomal RNA, 864 nt
Filed under: uncultured archaeon
Lineage: Archaea
Description: bacterial SSU rRNA
Rfam family: Archaeal small subunit ribosomal RNA
Source: RNAcentral